This 445-nucleotide ribosomal RNA is filed under the name uncultured bacterium. Its description in RNAcentral is "partial 16S ribosomal RNA". It matches the Rfam family "Bacterial small subunit ribosomal RNA", at positions 354 to 796 of the family's 1533-position model. The record is from RNAcentral.
GUGAGGAAUAUUGGACAAUGGGCGCAAGCCUGAUCCAGCCAUGCCGCGUGCAGGAAGACGCAUCUAUGGUGUGUAAACUGCUUUUGUACGGGAAGAAACACUCCCUCGUGAGGGAGCUUGACGGUACCGUAAGAAUAAGGAUCGGCUAACUCCGUGCCAGCAGCCGCGGUAAUACGGAGGAUCCAAGCGUUAUCCGGAAUCAUUGGGUUUAAAGGGUCCGUAGGCGGUUUAAUAAGUCAGUGGUGAAAGCCCAUCGCUCAACGAUGGAACGGCCAUUGAUACUGUUAGGCUUGAAUGACAAGGAAGUAACUAGAAUAUGUAGUGUAGCGGUGAAAUGCUUAGAUAUUACAUGGAAUACCAAUUGCGAAGGCAGGUUACUACUUGUGGAUUGACGCUGAUGGACGAAAGCGUGGGGAGCGAACAGGAUUAGAUACCCUAGUAGUCC